GAUCAUUACAAGUGAGGCUACCGAACGUUGGAAACAGCGGUUAGGAGCUUACACCCACCCGUGUUUACAUACUAUUGUUGCUUUGGCGGGCCGUGGCCUCCACUGCGGGCUCUGCUCGUGUGUGCCCGCCAGAGAACCAAACUCUGAAUGUUAGUGAUGUCUGAGUACUAUCUAAUAGUUAAAACUUUCAACAACGGAUCUCUUGGUUCUGGCAUCGAUGAAGAACGCAGCGAAAUGCGAUAAGUAAUGUGAAUUGCAGAAUUCAGUGAAUCAUCGAAUCUUUGAACGCACAUUGCGCCCUGUGGUAUUCCGCAGGGCAUGCCUGUUCGAGCGUCAUUUAACCACUCACGCCUAGCGUGGUAUUGGGGCACGCGGUCUCCGCGGCCCUCAAAAUGAGUGGCGGCGCCGGUGGGCUCUAAGCGUAGUACAUACUCCCGCUAUAGAGUUCCCCCGGUGGCUCGCCAGAACCCCCAAUUUUUACAGGUUGACCUCGGAUCAGGUAGGGAUACCCGCUGAACUUAAGCAUAUCAA
RNAcentral lists this ribosomal RNA (531 nucleotides) under Phialocephala sp. pineroot_b27_mb404. RNAcentral's name for it is "eukaryotic LSU rRNA". The stretch from base 183 to 336 matches the Rfam family "5.8S ribosomal RNA". Lineage: Eukaryota; Fungi; Ascomycota; Leotiomycetes; Helotiales; Mollisiaceae. The record is from RNAcentral.